Long non-coding RNA from Mytilus californianus (California mussel), 2139 nucleotides. RefSeq lists it as uncharacterized. Lineage: Eukaryota; Metazoa; Mollusca; Bivalvia; Mytilida; Mytilidae. The transcript is spliced from 2 exons. The record is from RefSeq and is a predicted model, not a curated record.
UCUUUUUUUUCUAUCCUUUGCCAAUUAAAUUUAUAAAUAAUGUUUCAGUAGAAAAUACUAUUAAAAGAAUAUCGAACUCAAACGUUAAAUAAAAAAUUGGAAGUCCUUAUAAACUGACGUUAGAACUACAUGAGUCAACCACACAAACGGAAAAUAACUGACUUUUUUAGAAUAAAAUGGUAGUUCAUACUGGGUUUCAUAGCUAAACGAACCUCCCACUUAUAAGGCAGUAGUUUAUAGUUUUGUUCUUCAUUUGAUUGCCUUUUUGCAUUUUUUUCUUCGAGCGUCACUGAUGUGUUUUUUUGUAGACAAAACGCGUAUCUUGUGUACCCAAUUUUAAUCCUGGAUUUUACACUGGACGUUUGUUUAAAAUAUAUAUUUAGAUAAAAAACAUAAAAAUUCAAGUUGUAUAUCACAAAAAAAAGUUCUAUGCCUUUUGUUUAAUUCUAAAAACGUAAAAAACAGUAGUAUCACCUCCUGGUUGUAAUGGAAAUUAUUAAGGUAUUUUUAGAUAGUUGUCAUUUGGAAAUUUCGAGCAGAUUUCAUUACGCAAUGGCGCGAUUGAUCCAUGAUAUAUGUUUAUGAGGCGGUUGUGACAUGAAAUGAGUCAAUUGAAAUAUCUGAAUAGUGUGUACUUAUUAAUAUCGAAUGAUAUAUAGCAAAGAUCCAAAUGUCAUGUGUACAGAUAUGUUUUAAGUACAUAGAGUAUAGAUGUGACAAAGGAAGGAGAAGAAACUUUGUUAAAAGUCAUCAUUUUGAGAUAUUAAGAACUGUUCGAACAAAAAUAAGACAAUUGAACAGAAAGCCUCAUUCAGUAAAAUACAACUAGUGAACAGAAUCUAACGAUAACACGUUAACUUUAAAAACUAGAAUUCUUUUUAAUAUUCAAAAAAUCAAAGCAAAAAUCGCGGCAUCGAUGCUAUUUCAACCAGAUUCUUUAGAUACUAAUAUCAAUUAAGAUAUAACAACAGACACUGCAAUAUACCAAACAAGAACGUAAAAAAAUCAGUACAUAAAAAUCAUUUCUUUAUAUCGAUUUAUAGAUAGCAAAAUAAAAACUCAAUAUCAUAUCAAAACAUGCUCGCGUAUAACGAAAUAAACUCAAGGUACUUAACCUGCUGAUAUGAAUUCAUGACAUCUUACUCUCUGAUAUUAAUGAUUGUAGUUGAGGGUAGACUUCUUAAAAUAAAUUGUUCUUCUAUAACAUCCAGGAAUUAUUAUUUGAAGAUAUAAAUGAAAGUCUAUGCCAAAAAAUUUCAAGUCAUGUUUGCAAUUCUUUACUUUUCAUCGGAAUCAAUUUAACUUAAGUAGGAGGAGAUAUUUAAAUACACAAGUCAUGUGUCUGUAUAAAAGUCAUACAGCAGUAACAGCUUAUCAUAACAUAGAGUUAACCAGGAUAUAUCGAAACGGAUCCCUUUUGAUGACUUUAAGAUUAUUAUAUUUGAUUUUAGAAAAUGGCAAACAAUGAAACGUGUACUGAAUUUGAUGAUAUUUAUGAUGAUUACGAUCAUGAAAGCAACGUAUGUUCAAUUAGAUACAAGUGCAUAACGUUUUUAGAUUAUUAUUUCUAUGAAACUGAAUGUCACUGUAAAAUCCGAAAACCAGUUCGGCAAUUUUAUCACACACUAAGUGUUUGCCAACCCUACAUUAUAAAGGAAAUGCGUCAUGGACGUUUGCAUCAGCGUCUUUAUAUGAGAUGCUAUUGUGGCUAUGAGAAACGUUCAUCUUGUAUAAUUAUUUAAUAUAAGGUAAAAAUAUCAUCAAGAUGUGUUUUGAAAUAGAUGUAUCGACAGUGUCUGCUUUUCAGAUAAUAAAGGGAAAUACAGAUUAUUAUAUUAUUUUUGACAUUUAAAUUAUUUUAAAAAUGUGAAACAUCUCAUGUAAAAAAUGUAAAAGGUGUGUGUCUAAGGAAUAACAAUUGACAAGUGUUAGUAAAACAUAUUACAUUUAAAAAUCAAUAGUUCAGAGAACCAUUGAAGGUCUUUCCACAUCAAUUUUUUUAAAGUUGUUUUGAUGAAGCCUCUAUCAGUUUACUCAAAAAUACUAUUGGCGUCUAAUGACAGGUUUAUGCAUACUCAUUACAAAUAAAAUAUAUGUUUUCUAUGUAUUUUGGUCUAAAAUAAAGUGGUUAUUUGCUAA